Molecule: transfer RNA, 78 nt
Filed under: Granulosicoccus sp.
Lineage: Bacteria; Pseudomonadati; Pseudomonadota; Gammaproteobacteria; Chromatiales; Granulosicoccaceae
Description: tRNA-Arg
Rfam family: tRNA
About the family: Transfer RNA (tRNA) molecules are approximately 80 nucleotides in length. Their secondary structure includes four short double-helical elements and three loops (D, anti-codon, and T loops).
Source: RNAcentral
ACGGCUGUAGCUCAGUGGACUUAGAGCGAGACUUUGCGAAGGUCUGGGACGCAGGUUCAAAUCCUGCCAGCCGUACCA